UAGAAAUGUGACAUGAGACACCAAGCCCCACCAAAAACAGUUCAGCUCAUUUUAUCAUCUUCAAUAUUGAACAGCUAAAUCCAUUCUCAUUCAACACAGGAUUUGAGCACCUACUAUGAGUCCGGUAGAUGCUGUGCCACGAUGUGAAGGAUGAGGAAAGAAAUGAAAUAAAGAGAAUUAUAAUGCAAAACGGUUGCUUGAUGGGACCUGAAGACUUGGCAGAGUGGAAGGAGCCUGGAGGGUGAAGUUGCUCAGGCCUCAGUGUGAAGCCUGGCCCUGCGGCUCAUUAGCUGUGUGACUGUGGGCUGAUUUCCUAGCGUUUCUGAGGCUAAUAUGUGCUUCCCUCCCCGUUAGUCAUACAUUCCCUUGGUCGUAUCUUAGGUCUUUUCUUCACCUCUAACUACCAUCCCUGAAGUCUCAAUUUAGUACACUCCCCUCUGACCCACCUCACCUUGCUUUACUACCUCCACAGACGGUCUUUGACCUCACUGAAGCCUCCACCCCCUGCCCAAUCUGGACCAGUAGGGAAGUUAAACUGCUCCAGCUGAAACACCCCACAACGCAGUGGCUCGACCAACAUAGCAGUUUCUCUCUCAGGGAACAGCACAGGGCAGAUGUGCACAGUCAGUGAGUGCUUCUGCCACACACAGCCCUUCAGGGACCCGGGUCCUGUGGCAUCCUCCUGGAUUGAGCUGGGGAGAGGGUGGUGGAAGGGUGUGGAGGAGGCUCUGCCUGGUCUUAACGCCCCUGUCCAUUAGGGGCACACAUCGCUGCCGCUCAUGUUGGAGGGAUCGUAAUCACUUGGCCACUUAGAACAAACUAGAGAGCCUGGGAAAUGUGUGCCUGGCCUGCCUCUCGUGUUCACAUGCGGGGGAAUGAGUUUGGUGGACAGCUGGCUGUCGCCUCCCCUCAGGUCCUCUCCUCUUUCCUUAUUCAGCCCGGGUUGUAUAGCGUCUAUCGCUGUAGUCACUGUGUCGCAAUUGCCCUUAACUUCCUUGUUGCUCCACCUCCUCCAUGCUAAUUUAGAAAAACUGCAACUCUACACGUGUCUGUGUCUGAACAGCUGGAAAUUGCUGCAGAAAACCCACGUCUGUUCUUCAGUUCAGGACCACAAGCCUAAAGUGGACACUCAAGACUGCUGGGCAAUCCUCAUAUCCUUUCCUUGUUUGUUUCCUUUCCCAUUCCCUGAACUUGCUGUUUUACACUUUUACCUCCCUUCAAAACCCCUCCUCCCAUUUCUCACCCAUCACCUGCCACCUGCUUCGUGGCAGAAGUGAAACCAUCGGGUGGGAAUCCCCUCACCUUCCCCCAUCAGCCACAUGACUGCAUCUGUGCUCCUUCUCUGCCCUUCUGAAUGAGAUGUCUCUGCUUCUAUAAAAGGCCAGCUUCUCCACCUGUUCACUGAAGCCUGUGUCUUUCUCGCUUCUCGCGGUCUUUGCUUCUGUGAUUAUUUUCUCUCCUACAUCAUCUUUCUUUUGAUGGGCCAUUUCCAUUGGCAUAUCGAUAAGCUCUGUGAUCUUCUUUCUUUAAAAACUGCUUUGACCCCAAUUUCCCCUUGAGUUACUGCCCAUUUCUCUGCUGUUCUUCACAGAAAAACUUCUUGAAAGACUUGUCUAAAUUAAAUGUUUUCACUUCCCCAAAUCCUAUUUUUCCUCAACCCACUCCAGAUAGGUUUCUGUCCCCAUCACUUCACUGAAACUGCAGCUGUCUAGAUCACCAGUGAGUCCAUGUUGCCAAUACAGUGCUCACCUCUUGUCCCUCUUACUUAGCCUCCCAACAUUGGAUGUAACUGAUUUCUCUAUAUAUCAAGAAACACUUGCUUCUCCUGAUUUCCAGGACAGUGCAUGUUUCUGGUUUUCUUCCUCCUUAGUGAUUGUUACUUCUUGGUUUCCUUUGCUGGCUUCUUCUCCUCUACUCUACCUUUCUGUGUUGGAGUGCCCCAGCCCUCAGCCUUGGAUCCUCACCUCUUUUUCUCUAUAUAUUCUCUCUUUAGUUAUUUCAUCCAUUCCCCUGGUUUUAGAUCCUAGCUAUAUGCUGAUGUUUCUCAAAGUUAUAACUUCAGCCCUGACCCCUUCCUUGAGCUCCAAAUUCAUCUAUCCCAUGGCUUACAUGGCGUCUUUGUUUGGG
Equus asinus (donkey) is the source of this 2127-nucleotide long non-coding RNA. NCBI's taxonomy places the organism in Eukaryota, Metazoa, Chordata, Mammalia, Perissodactyla, Equidae. The record is from Ensembl.